Poecilia latipinna (sailfin molly) is the source of this 290-nucleotide long non-coding RNA. RefSeq lists it as uncharacterized. The transcript has 2 exons. Lineage: Eukaryota; Metazoa; Chordata; Actinopteri; Cyprinodontiformes; Poeciliidae. The record is from RefSeq and is a predicted model, not a curated record.
UGUGUAACCUGGUUGUAAUUCUCUUUUGUUAUAAUUACACAAAAUGUCUUUUUUUGAUUAUUUGUCUUGUUCCUUAUCUUACUGAAACACCUCUGUCAUUGUUUUAACCGUGUUACUUUAAGAUUGAAGCCCCUCCCUUUUAUUUCUUCUUCUGUGGUAUUGUCUUUAAAUUGUUUGCGCCCCUUAGCCCCUCCCCUUUUGUCAUGUCCUGCGGGAGAGGACUUGGAGCGGGCAGCCUUUAACACGGUUGUUUUGUCUGUAUUCUCGUCAGAAAUAAACCGAGAAUCAUC